CUUUUGGAUAACAGUGCCAAACCACCCUUCCAGAAUGUGCAGGGACAGCAUAGUUGUAAAAAAAGACAGUUUUCACAAUCUGGGGAUGACUACUCAGCAAUUAAGGAGCUAUAACACACCGCUCUCUGGAUGACAUCCUGCAACUGCCAGGAAUUGGGAGUGGCGGGCACAGGCGUGGCAUGAGAUGCGUGGACAAGAGGAAGCAAAGGGAAAACAAAAGGAAAGCUGUCACAGAAUAUGUGCUCCUGUGUCAAACAGCAAAACAAGUACUGGCAAACGCUGAAGACAAAUGCUGAAGAGGAGCCAUCAACUCAAGCUGCUACUGUACUCCUGACAAGGCAGGUUUCAAAGAGAAUUACCUGCUAGUACUCCUAAUGCAGUAGAACUGGGAUUUCACCGCUGGGGGACAUUAAGAGAGUCUUUGGUUUCAAACAACCACUGACAUCCAGGAAAAGGAAUAGCAGCAUGAGUAUACCAGGCUCAAAUAUAUGAUACCUUCUGCACUGGUAGAUUUUGACUGUGGAGAUCUCGCCUCCUCUCUGAGUGACUGACGGAAAUGAACCACAACACGAUUUGAAGUUGGGAGCUAACAACUGUGAAAUAUUUGCAUUUCAGUUGGCUUUUUAUUUUCUCAAGCCUGAACGGCAUAGGCUGCUUUUCCAAAGGCACUCCUGAGUAAGACUCAUUCAGACAGGAAUUAGAGUGUUAGAUGCAGACUGGUAUCCCUGUAAGACUGCUUGGUCUAUCAAGCUCACUAGCAACGUCCUGCACAUCCUAGCUUUUUGAACAUUCAAACCUUGCUCUUAAAAUAGCCUGCUUUAAGUUAAAUCAUACACUUCCACAUCAAACUGGGAGAGCGGUAAGAGGUGCCAAACCCUUCUGUACCCCUGGAGCUAGUCUGCACUGCAAGUGGUUAAUUAAAAGACCAGUGUUUUGUAUGAAAUCUCAGCGUAAGAAAUCUCAGUUGUUAUCUUGACCAACUGCAUAUAUUGGCAUCAGUUUCUGAAAAAAUGGCAACACCUGACAGGAGGAGGAAGGACACGCUGAAAUUGAAGAGGUGAGGGACUGUCUGUUACAACUUGAAAUAUCAGCCAAGAAACAUCCUUUUUCCUUGCUCAUCUUUCAGGGUGCAAAGGUUAUUCUAAUG
This 1147-nucleotide long non-coding RNA is filed under the name Numida meleagris (helmeted guineafowl). Its description in RNAcentral is "lncRNA (ENSNMEG00000016583.1)". Lineage: Eukaryota; Metazoa; Chordata; Aves; Galliformes; Numididae. The record is from RNAcentral.